Molecule: ribosomal RNA, 378 nt
Filed under: uncultured bacterium
Lineage: Bacteria
Description: bacterial SSU rRNA
Rfam family: Bacterial small subunit ribosomal RNA
Source: RNAcentral
AUACGUAGGGCGCAAGCGUUAUCCGGAAUUAUUGGGCGUAAAGAGCUCGUAGGCGGUUUGUCGCGUCUGCUGUGAAAUCCGGAGGCUCAACCUCCGGCCUGCAGUGGGUACGGGCAGACUAGAGUGCGGUAGGGGAGAUUGGAAUUCCUGGUGUAGCGGUGGAAUGCGCAGAUAUCAGGAGGAACACCGAUGGCGAAGGCAGAUCUCUGGGCCGUAACUGACGCUGAGGAGCGAAAGGGUGGGGAGCAAACAGGCUUAGAUACCCUGGUAGUCCACCCCGUAAACGUUGGGAACUAGUUGUGGGGUCCAUUCCACGGAUUCCGUGACGCAGCUAACGCAUUAAGUUCCCCGCCUGGGGAGUACGGCCGCAAGGCUAAA